Molecule: non-coding RNA, 164 nt
Filed under: unclassified sequences
Also listed under: 1 other name
Description: Clostridiales-1 RNA
Rfam family: Clostridiales-1 RNA
Source: RNAcentral
UGUAUAAGCUCCCGGACAGCGGCUGGGCGACUGGUAAGCUUGCUUGCCGAGACGCACAGACAUUGGACGGGGCAACAGGUAUGAGCACGCAGGCAUAUGCGCCGGAGUGCGAAUGCCUGUCGGGAUUGCGGGAGUGCGAUGCACGGGGCAAUCCGCAGGUUAUA